This 661-nucleotide ribosomal RNA is filed under the name uncultured Acinetobacter sp. Its description in RNAcentral is "bacterial SSU rRNA". It matches the Rfam family "Bacterial small subunit ribosomal RNA", at positions 65 to 720 of the family's 1533-position model. Lineage: Bacteria; Pseudomonadati; Pseudomonadota; Gammaproteobacteria; Moraxellales; Moraxellaceae. The record is from RNAcentral.
AGCGGAGAUGAGGUGCUUGCACCUUAUCUUAGCGGCGGACGGGUGAGUAAUGCUUAGGAAUCUGCCUAUUAGUGGGGGACAACAUUCCGAAAGGAAUGCUAAUACCGCAUACGUCCUACGGGAGAAAGCAGGGGAUCUUCGGACCUUGCGCUAAUAGAUGAGCCUAAGUCGGAUUAGCUAGUUGGUGGGGUAAAGGCCUACCAAGGCGACGAUCUGUAGCGGGUCUGAGAGGAUGAUCCGCCACACUGGGACUGAGACACGGCCCAGACUCCUACGGGAGGCAGCAGUGGGGAAUAUUGGACAAUGGGGGGAACCCUGAUCCAGCCAUGCCGCGUGUGUGAAGAAGGCCUUAUGGUUGUAAAGCACUUUAAGCGAGGAGGAGGCUACUGAGACUAAUACUCUUGGAUAGUGGACGUUACUCGCAGAAUAAGCACCGGCUAACUCUGUGCCAGCAGCCGCGGUAAUACAGAGGGUGCGAGCGUUAAUCGGAUUUACUGGGCGUAAAGCGUGCGUAGGCGGCUUUUUAAGUCGGAUGUGAAAUCCCCGAGCUUAACUUGGGAAUUGCAUUCGAUACUGGGAAGCUAGAGUAUGGGAGAGGAUGGUAGAAUUCCAGGUGUAGCGGUGAAAUGCGUAGAGAUCUGGAGGAAUACCGAUGGCGAAG